GCCUACGGGGGGCAGCAGUGAGGAAUAUUGGUCAAUGGGAGAGAUCCUGAACCAGCCAAGCUGCGUGAGGGAAGACGGCCCUAUGGGUUGUAAACCUCUUUUGUCGGAGAACAAAACCCGGGACGUGUCCCGGACUGCGUGUAUCCGAAGAAAAAGCAUCGGCUAACUCCGUGCCAGCAGCCGCGGUAAUACGGAGGAUGCGAGCGUUAUCCGGAUUUAUUGGGUUUAAAGGGUGCGUAGGCGGUCCGUUAAGUCAGCGGUAAAAUUGCGGGGCUCAACCCAGUCGAGCCGUUGAAACUGGCAGA
This 305-nucleotide ribosomal RNA is filed under the name uncultured bacterium. RNAcentral describes it as "bacterial SSU rRNA". It matches the Rfam family "Bacterial small subunit ribosomal RNA", at positions 337 to 640 of the family's 1533-position model. The record is from RNAcentral.